AGUGAACGCUGGCGGUAGGCCUAACACAUGCAAGUCGAACGGCAGCACAGUAAGAGCUUGCUCUUACGGGUGGCGAGUGGCGGACGGGUGAGGAAUACAUCGGAAUCUACUUUUUCGUGGGGGCUAACGUAGGGAAACUUACGCUAAUACCGCAUACGACCUACGGGUGAAAGCAGGGGAUCUUCGGACCUUGCGCGAUUGAAUGAGCCGAUGUCGGAUUAGCUAGUUGGCGGGGUAAAGGCCCACCAAGGCGACGAUCCGUAGCUGGUCUGAGAGGAUGAUCAGCCACACGGGAACAGAGACACGGUCCAGACUCCGACAGGAGGAAGCAGUGGGGAAUAUUGGACAAUGGGCGCAAGCCGGAUCCAGCCAUACCGCGUGGGUGAAGAAGGCCUUCGGGUUGUAAAGCCCUUUUGUUGGGAAAGAAAAGCAGCAGGUUAAUACCCCGCUGUUCUGACGGUACCCAAAGAAUAAGCACCGGCUAACUUCGUG
Molecule: ribosomal RNA, 492 nt
Filed under: uncultured bacterium
Lineage: Bacteria
Description: partial 16S ribosomal RNA
Rfam family: Bacterial small subunit ribosomal RNA
Source: RNAcentral